RNAcentral lists this ribosomal RNA (208 nucleotides) under uncultured bacterium. RNAcentral describes it as "partial 16S ribosomal RNA". It matches the Rfam family "Bacterial small subunit ribosomal RNA", at positions 568 to 774 of the family's 1533-position model. The record is from RNAcentral.
CUCGUAGGCGGCCAACUAAGUCAGACGUGAAAUCUCUCGGCUUAACCGGGGAACUGCGUCUGAUACUGGAUGGCUCGAGUUUGGGAGAGGGAUGCGGAAUUCCAGGUGUAGCGGUGAAAUGCGUAGAUAUCUGGAGGAACACCGGUGGCGAAGGCGGCAUCCUGGACCAACACUGACGCUGAGUGAGCGAAAGCCAGGGGAGCAAACG